GGUGGGAUGCCGGAGUCUGGCUGAACGGGCCGCACUCGAAAUGCGGUAUACCUCACGGUAUCGGGGGUUCGAAUCCCUCUCCCACCGCCA
Molecule: transfer RNA, 90 nt
Filed under: bacterium
Lineage: Bacteria
Description: tRNA-Ser
Rfam family: tRNA
About the family: Transfer RNA (tRNA) molecules are approximately 80 nucleotides in length. Their secondary structure includes four short double-helical elements and three loops (D, anti-codon, and T loops). Further hydrogen bonds mediate the characteristic L-shaped molecular structure. tRNAs have two regions of fundamental functional importance: the anti-codon, which is responsible for specific mRNA codon recognition, and the 3' end, to which the tRNAs corresponding amino acid is attached (by aminoacyl-tRNA synthetases). tRNAs cope with the degeneracy of the genetic code in two manners: having more than one tRNA (with a specific anti-codon) for a particular amino acid; and 'wobble' base-pairing, i.e. permitting non-standard base-pairing at the 3rd anti-codon position.
Source: RNAcentral